RNAcentral lists this small nuclear RNA (101 nucleotides) under Catagonus wagneri (Chacoan peccary). Lineage: Eukaryota; Metazoa; Chordata; Mammalia; Artiodactyla; Tayassuidae. The record is from RNAcentral.
GUUCGCUUCAGCAGCACAUAUACUAAAAUUGGAACAAUACAGAGAUUAGCAUGGCCCCUUGCAAAGAUGACAUACAAAUUCUUGAAGAAUUACUUUAAGCU